This 89-nucleotide transfer RNA is filed under the name Frankiaceae bacterium. RNAcentral describes it as "tRNA-Ser". It matches the Rfam family "tRNA". Rfam says of the family: Transfer RNA (tRNA) molecules are approximately 80 nucleotides in length. Their secondary structure includes four short double-helical elements and three loops (D, anti-codon, and T loops). Further hydrogen bonds mediate the characteristic L-shaped molecular structure. tRNAs have two regions of fundamental functional importance: the anti-codon, which is responsible for specific mRNA codon recognition, and the 3' end, to which the tRNAs corresponding amino acid is attached (by aminoacyl-tRNA synthetases). tRNAs cope with the degeneracy of the genetic code in two manners: having more than one tRNA (with a specific anti-codon) for a particular amino acid; and 'wobble' base-pairing, i.e. permitting non-standard base-pairing at the 3rd anti-codon position. Lineage: Bacteria; Bacillati; Actinomycetota; Actinomycetes; Frankiales; Frankiaceae. The record is from RNAcentral.
GGAGGGUUCGCAUAGCGGUCUAGUGCAGCCGCCUUGAAAGCGGCCAGGCGGUUCAUCCCGUCUCGUGGGUUCGAACCCCACACCCUCCG